RNAcentral lists this unclassified non-coding RNA (225 nucleotides) under plant metagenome. Its description in RNAcentral is "partial contains small subunit ribosomal RNA, internal transcribed spacer 1, and 5.8S ribosomal RNA". The record is from RNAcentral.
UCUCCGUUGGUGAACCAGCGGAGGGAUCAUUACAGGACUCGCAAGACUCCUACAACCCUGUGAACUUAACUAUAAGCACGUUGCUUCGGCGGGUGUCUCGGAGGGGGUUCUCCCUCCCUGAGACGCUAAACCCGCCGGCAGCCUACUAUACUCUGUCUCUUUGCGUUGGCAUCUCGAGUACAAUCAAACAAGUUAAAACUUUCAACAACGGAUCUCUUGGUUCUG